Molecule: ribosomal RNA, 982 nt
Filed under: Nitrospinota bacterium
Lineage: Bacteria; Pseudomonadati; Nitrospinota
Description: partial 23S ribosomal RNA
Rfam family: Bacterial large subunit ribosomal RNA
Source: RNAcentral
CCGUAACUAUAACGGUCCUAAGGUAGCGAAAUUCCUUGUCGGGUAAGUUCCGACCUGCACGAAUGGCGUAACGAUGGCUCCACUGUCUCAACCAGGGACUCAGUGAAAUUGAUUUUCCGGUGAAAACGCCGGAUACCCGCGACAGGACGGAAAGACCCCGUGCACCUUUACUAUAGCUUGGCACUGGAAUUUGGCUCAAUAUGUGUAGGAUAGGUGGGAGGCUUUGAAGCUGGGACGCUAGUCUCGGUGGAGCCAACCUUGAAAUACCACCCUUAUUGUGACGGAUUUCUAACCAUAUCCCCUGAAUCGGGGAAUGGGACACUGCCUGGUGGGUAGUUUGACUGGGGCGGUCGCCUCCUAAAAUGUAACGGAGGCGCUCGAAGGUUCUCUCAGGCUGAUUGGAAACCAGCCGUCGAGUGCAAAGGCAUAAGAGAGCUUAACUGCGAGACCCACAAGUCAAGCAGAUACGAAAGUAGGACUUAGUGAUCCGGUGGUUCUGAAUGGAAGGGCCAUCGCUCAACGGAUAAAAGGUACGCCGGGGAUAACAGGCUGAUCCCGCCCAAGAGUCCAUAUCGACGGCGGGGUUUGGCACCUCGAUGUCGGCUCAUCGCAUCCUGGGGCUGAAGCAGGUCCCAAGGGUUGGUCUGUUCGCCCAUUAAAGCGGUACGCGAGCUGGGUUUAGAACGUCGUGAGACAGUUCGGUCCCUAUCCGUCGUGGGCGUUGGAAGGUUGAGAGGAUCUGACCCUAGUACGAGAGGACCGGGUUGGACUGACCUCUAGUGCUCCAGUUGUCUCGCCAGAGGCACGGCUGGGUAGCUACGUCGGGAACGGAUAACCGCUGAAAGCAUCUAAGUGGGAAGCCGACCUCAAGAUAAGCCUUCCCUAUUAGGCGACUCGAAGACCACGAGUUUGAUAGGCCGGGUGUGGAAGCGCAGUAAUGCGUGAAGCUAACCGGUACUAAUCCGCCAAUCGGCUUGAUCUA